This 497-nucleotide ribosomal RNA is filed under the name uncultured bacterium. Its description in RNAcentral is "partial 16S ribosomal RNA". It matches the Rfam family "Bacterial small subunit ribosomal RNA", at positions 28 to 507 of the family's 1533-position model. The record is from RNAcentral.
GAGGAACGCUGGCGGCGUGCCUAAUACAUGCAAGUCGAGCGAACAGAUGAGGAGCUUGCUCCUCUGACGUUAGCGGCGGACGGGUGAGUAACACGUGGAUAACCUACCUAUAAGACUGGGAUAACUUCGGGAAACCGGAGCUAAUACCGGAUAAUAUAUUGAACCGCAUGGUUCAAUAGUGAAAGACGGUUUUGCUGUCACUUAUAGAUGGAUCCGCGCCGCAUUAGCUAGUUGGUAAGGUAACGGCUUACCAAGGCAACGAUGCGUAGCCGACCUGAGAGGGCGAUCGGCCACACUGGAACUGAGACACGGUCCAGACUCCUACGGGAGGCAGCAGUAGGGAAUCUUCCGCAAUGGGCGAAAGCCUGACGGAGCAACGCCGCGUGAGUGAUGAAGGUCUUCGGAUCGUAAAACUCUGUCAUUAGGGAAGAACAAAUGUGUAAGUAACUAUGCACGUCUUGACGGUACCUAAUCAGAAAGCCACGGCUAACUACGUG